UACAGAGGGUGCGAGCGUUAAUCGGAAUUACUGGGCGUAAAGCGCGCGUAGGCGGCUUUGCAAGUCGGGUGUGAAAUCCCCAGGCUUAACCUGGGAACUGCAUUCGAGACUGCAUUGCUAGAGUAUGGGAGAGGGUCGCGGAAUUCCCGGUGUAGAGGUGAAAUUCGUAGAUAUCAGGAGGAACACCGGUGGCGAAGGCGGCGACCUGGACCGGUACUGACGCUGAGACGCGAAAGCGUGGGGAGCAAACAGG
RNAcentral lists this ribosomal RNA (253 nucleotides) under uncultured bacterium. RNAcentral's name for it is "partial 16S ribosomal RNA". It matches the Rfam family "Bacterial small subunit ribosomal RNA", at positions 524 to 776 of the family's 1533-position model. The record is from RNAcentral.